RNAcentral lists this long non-coding RNA (508 nucleotides) under Panax ginseng (ginseng). RNAcentral describes it as "long non-coding RNA (PGIN_LNC015285)". Lineage: Eukaryota; Viridiplantae; Streptophyta; Magnoliopsida; Apiales; Araliaceae. The record is from RNAcentral.
GAAGAGAAUGCUGAAGAGAAUACUGCCUGAAGGGAGAAAGCCAUUCUGAAGUCUGUGUUGGCAAAAGAAAGAAGCAACCUUGACAUUGUUCUUCUCAACAAUGAAUGACUUCGGAAGGAUCUCGACAAGGUCAAAAAAGAGUUGGAGAUGAUCAAGGCCACACAUCGGGUCAUCACAGAUAUAAAUGUCGACCUGCUUUUGAAGAAUGAAAUUUUGACGAAGAAGAAUGAAGAUCUAGCCGAGUCUAAUCAGAGCCUGGCGAAGCAAAAUAACAAUAUCUACGCUAAAGAGGUAAGAUAUAUAGCACUUCAUCAAAAGCUUGAAGAGGAACUCCGAUAACUUCGGGCCCUUAGAAACUUGGAUCUGCCACUGACCGAAGAUAUUUGUAAGGAGAUCCAAGCAGAAUACAGAAAACCCGCCGAGCUGAACGAUGAGAUCGUCCAUAUAUAUGCCAAAUGAUAUGAAAUCUGCCGAAGUAAAGGCAAAAAAAAGCUCAGGCCAAGGUAGA